UUUUAAGUAUGGACUUGAAUAUGACAGUCUUUUCACUGAUGUCCAGGGAAUUUCUACCUUACAGUGCCCGGGGAAUGGGAUCUGGGGCUAGCUUUCUUCCUGAGAAAACCAGUCCUGGCUUUUGGGAUAUGGCUUCUCAUAUCUUGAAAGUACUCUGAUAUUCUGAAAGGAUGGUUGGUUGACACUACUGAGAGUCUACAGGGAGUGUGGGAAGUUACUCUUAGCAAACCUCAUAUUUUGGAAAGACAGAACCCAGGAAAGUUUAAUAAUUCCUGUAGGGACAGGAGUGCAGGCUGAGGUUGUUCACGGGAUGCAGGUGCUGUUCAACUUCUAAGUGCGGGCUGAGUUUAAUUCAACCCCCUUGGCCAGCACAGGCCCAGACAGGGCCUGGCUCUUUCUAGUCACCAAGUUGCCCUGACUCCCUGCCUUCUAGCAGAAUAACAAUUCGGGGGCAAUGUAGCGCUUGCCUUAUCUUCUUUGGGCUAGUUGGAGUUUCAGAGCAAAUACAUUCUUCUCUAGCCGGCUUAGCUUAAAGUCUGUUUACUUGUCCCCAGGAUAGGUGAAUAUUCAGAGGGCUCUGGGAAUGAGACCCAACAAACUGGACUUUGGUCCUCUCUUGCCACCAAUCACUCUGAUUCCUCCAGCUCCUACCUAGGGGAAUGUGUCAGCUAUAGAAGCAAUCUUGGCAUGCAGACUGGGGCAUAUCUCUUUAGGAAACUAGGUGCUGGGCUCAAAGUGAGCUGGGUUUAAGGUUUUAGUCCCCACAGUUUGGGGACACAAGCCAUUCACACAGCCUGCAACUGGGUCAGCACCUAGGAGGCUUUCAAAAACUGGGGCUCAGAUUUGUUCUGACCUCCAAGUAAAAGAAAUAAACAUUCUAGAGAUGCCCUGACACUGAGAUGGUGGAAGAGGGGAAGUUUCCUCAGUGAGCUGUAGAACAAAUGCCCUAGAAACUGCCCCCUGACAAGUAUCCCACUCAACUCCAGGCCGCGAUGGUUCAGGCAGUGGGGGGAUUUUGCAGACAGCAUCCUCCUCUUUGCUCCUCUCCCCCACCCCACCCCAACCCCGCCGUGUAAACACGAGGACUUUCUCGAGAGCCCUGGAGAGCCGCUCUAGUGGCUUCGGGGCCUGAAACCCCAGGCUUGGCUUGUUUGAUGUUUAGCAUCCCAAAGCGGCUCCCCACCCCCGCCCCAGCCUGGGAACCCCGAGCUCCGGGGCCGAAGAGAAGGGGAAGCAGUUCUCUCAGCUGGAGGGCGGUGGAUUGGCUGGGCUUAGAGAAGUGGCGAAAACUACAGGACUCCCCGCCCUGAGCAGGGGAGAAAGGGAUCCCGGAAUGAUGCGGUCAUCCAUGAGGAUAUAGCUGGAGUCCUAAAGGCCAAGAGGCAGACGGGGAAAGAAAUGUCACAAUUUGGGGGAAUACACUGGAGAUAGGGGCCAGGUCGGUGGAAAUAGCUUGGGGCCACCGCGAAAACAAGGUAAGCGGUGUCUGGGUCCAGUUAGUGAGCAUCGAGAACGGCGUCCACGACUGCAGGGCUAUCAGGGCCUCGAGGAGACAGCGCUCCGUGCCACUGCUUAGUGCUUGGCCUUUCAUAGGGACGAACCUGCUUAGGAGUCUUCCAAGAGAUUUUUAAAUCCUCCGAGUCUGGACCUGGAAGCUCCAUUGGCGACGUUUGGAUCUGGCUUCGUAGUCUUUGAUUUCGAAAGCCCAGGAAGAUUCGCAGACUUUCAAGGCCGCACACACCGCAUUGCCGGGAGUCUGGGCGGCGGUGAGGACUGAGAAGCUGUCUCAAGACCUGAGUCUCUUCUCAGGCGAUCCCAGAUAAGAGGAGAGAGAGAGAGCUUUUCUGACUUCCAACUCAUUAGGGACCAGAUUUGCUCUCCAGCACAGCAAAAGGGUCUGCCUGUGACCCUCACCGAACUCACUCUUCACUGCUUUAUAGAGACCAUCAGACUCAGGACAAAUAUUCUAGUUUGGAUGCGCAAUUAAUAAUAAGAAGAUACAGGACAGAGGCGGACUGAAUGGCUCCAAUUCUCAGAAUGUGAAAGCGUAAAUCAGAACCUACUAUUUUGUAAAACCAACUUGGAAAACAAAAUUGUCAGAAGCAAAACAACAACAACAACAACAAUAAAAACCAAACCAACAACAAAACCAAGCAAGUCAGGCUGUUUUACCAAUAAAGGGGGCACUGAAUGGAAUCAGAGAUCUGAUAAGUGCCGGGAAGUUGGACUAAGAGGGACAGGAGACUUCGAAACUUCUCUGAAUACUGCUUUGCUGCUGACUUCCAAGGAGAUCUCACCAGAGCUGAGCUGAAGCCAGGACCAUAGUGUUAUUGACAUUACCCCCAGAGACAUGAAGAAACAUCUGCUGCCCCUAGAUAUGAAACCAACACAGACCAAACCAACUGUCAGUACUGCAAGUGGUCCACCCACCAAAGAGAUGGAACUCAACGUGGUAGAAUAGAAGCUGAGACAUGUGGACUUGACAGACUUGAGACUCGGCUAUUCAUCCCAGCUCUGAGAGCCCAUGCAGCUCAUUGAGCCUUCGCGACUCCUGGUUUUACUUUCAGCAAAAUGGAGAUAUUAAGAAUAGAUGCCUCCAAGGUGAUUUACACGUUCUUCUUGUCUUGAGGUUUGGGAUUCCCGUUUUGGGUCUGCAGAAUUGAGACAGUGCUCCAGCAAGAAUUCCAUCUCUGUCUGUUUUAUUCCCACUGAAGAGAAAAAUGACUUUAAUGGCAACAACAAAUGCUUCACUUGUUAGCCUUUCUGUUCCCGACCCUGACACAAAUAAACUAAUAUUCCAUCUACCCGGCACCGGCCUGAGCUCUGGGAUCAGUACACGUCAACCUGAACCCGGAAGAGUUCCAAGUAUCUUUCCCCUUCUCUGUCAGGUUCGUGUUACCCUGAACCUGUGAGCUCAGAAGGAAUUUUCUGGUUUUCGGGAGACGGCAGCCAUUCAUCAUAGCUCUCCACCACUGACUGACUGAGAGUCAAUUAUCAUCAAACAUCCAUCUGCCCAUGAUGCUAAUUAUUCCUACUCCAUGAUUGAGGAUUUGGAGUCGGAGACUCACCUGCAAUAUUUGGAAUACCAGUGGAGAUCCAUAUCAACAUGGAAUUUAUACAGCAGCUGGUGCCAGUCACAGCUAAUGAUGAAACUUCAGCUUAAUAAAAAGACCCCCAACUGAGUACAACCAUCUCGAAGAAAGUGUACUUAUCAAACAGCUUUCAAUCAGUUCAAGAGAGACACCUUAAUUGUGAAGAGCAAGAACCGCACAGCAGUUGUCACCAUGCCAACUUCAGAUCAAUGGCACUUCCACUGCUCUUGGUACAUAUAGCCUUGCCUAUGUCCUUAACUGCACCAACAUCCUUCCUGUUGGGAUGAGAUCUUGUCAGCUGCUAGCGUGUGAUGAUGCCUUCGUUCAUUACAUUACUAUACCCCUUAGCAAAAUUUAAACGUGUAAUGAUAAAGGUCACUACCUUUUCCUUUAAUUAAGACCUCUAUUUCUUGUUACCAGAAACAAGUGCCUAUGACAUUUUGUAUUUUCAGAAAUUAUCCUGUUGAAAUAAAGCUACACAAACAAAAUAAAA
RNAcentral lists this small RNA (3585 nucleotides) under Rattus norvegicus (Norway rat). RNAcentral describes it as "uncharacterized LOC100911923". The record is from RNAcentral. Lineage: Eukaryota; Metazoa; Chordata; Mammalia; Rodentia; Muridae.